CCUACGGGAGGCAGCAGUGGGGAAUAUUGGGCAAUGGCGGAAACUCUGACCCAGCAACGCCGCGUGAAUGAUGAAGGUCUUCGGAUUGGAAAGUUCUUUUCUUAGGGAAGUAGAAAGUGCCGGUACCUUAGGAAUAAGCCUCGGCUAAGUACGUGCCAGCAGCCGCGGUAAUACGUAGGAGGCGGGCGUUAUCCGGAAUGACUUGGCGUAAAGGGUGCGUAGGUGGGUUGGCAAGGUAGUAGCGUAACUCCAAGGCUCAACCUUGGAACUACUACUAAAACUGUUGGACUUGAGUGCAGGAGGGGCAAGCGGAAUUCCUAGUGUAGCGGUGGAAUGCGUAGAUAUUAGGAGGAACACCAGUGGCGAAGGCGGGUUGCUGGACUGCAACUGACGCUGAGGCACGAAAGCGUGGGGAGCAAACAGGAUUAGAUACCCUGGUAGUC
RNAcentral lists this ribosomal RNA (443 nucleotides) under uncultured bacterium. Its description in RNAcentral is "partial 16S ribosomal RNA". It matches the Rfam family "Bacterial small subunit ribosomal RNA", at positions 338 to 795 of the family's 1533-position model. The record is from RNAcentral.